UACGUAGGUGACAAGCGUUAUCCGGAAUUACUGGGCGUAAAGCGCACGCAGGCGGCGGCGUCAGUCUGACGUGAAAUCUCCCGGCUUAACUGGGAGGGGUCGUUGGAAACUACGUCGCUUGAGGCGAGGAGAGGGGUGUGGAAUUCCCGGUGUAGUGGUGGAAUGCGUAGAGAUCGGAAGGAACGUCAAUGGCGAAGGCAGCCACCUGGCAUAAUACUGACGCUGAGGCGCGAAAGCGUGGGGAGCGAACAGG
Molecule: ribosomal RNA, 253 nt
Filed under: uncultured bacterium
Lineage: Bacteria
Description: partial 16S ribosomal RNA
Rfam family: Bacterial small subunit ribosomal RNA
Source: RNAcentral